CUUGAGUGUGACGGUAUCUCCAAUGACGACAGGAGGAAGAGAUUCAGUAGUAACGGUUAAAUAACCUGCCAAGGAGAAAACAGUGGAAGAUAAGACUCCUGCAGUGAAUAGAAAGGUUCUGCACUGAGAAGCUUCUCACAGUCAAUAGUCCUGUAGUUUCUUAUACUAUUCACUGCUGCUCUGUUGUAUAUACAUCAAGGCUGAGGCAUGUUGUUGCUGAGGACUUUAUUUAUUUGAAAUCUGUACUUCCCAAAUUCCACCAACAUUGUUAAGUGCUCUACCACGGGGCAACAGGACACUGGACCAUGUGCACAGUAACAUCAAGGGCCUACCAAGCCACACCCCUCCCACACCUCAGACAAUAUGACCAAUUCUCUCUGCUCUUCAUCCGUUCUUAAACCACCCUGAGGAAACAAACCCCUCCAAGCACCCAGGUCACUAAAACAUGGCCAGAUGAUGCUCUCAUCCAGCUACAGGACUGUUUUGAUCUGACAGACUGAUCCAUCUUUGAACAGCAGGACCUGGAGACCUUCACUUAGUCUGUCCUUUUGUACAUUAAGUGCUGUGUAGAGAAUGUAACAGUUUCUCCUAACUGGAAACCUCGGAUCACGAGAGAAGUACAGGCUCUGAUCAGAACUCGUAACUCGGCCUUCAGGCUGAGGGACAGUUUUCUGUACCGCACUGCCAGAGCAAACCUGAGGAGGGGUGUCAAACAAGCUAAGGAGGCUCACAGGAGGAGGAUGAGGCCUUCAGCUUCACACUUAGCAGAGCAGCUCAACAACUUCUAAGCUCAGCAUCACCUGACCUCCCCCUCCUUCUCACCCAGCACACUCCCUGGAGGAGCAUGAGGUUAGGAGGCGACUGAGAGUGGUGAACUCCAAGAGAGCUUUCUAUGAUGGCAUCCCAGGGGCUGUGGUCAAGGCCUGUGCAGACCAACUGGAAGAAGAUCUUCAUCAGGUUGUUUAACCUCUGCCUGAUUCAUGCCAAUAUUACCACCUGUCUAAAGGCCUCCAUUAUGAUUCCCAUUCCCUAAAAGCCUGUAAUAGACAGCUUCAAUGACUACAGAUCUAUACCCCCUACAUCAGCAGUCAUGAAGUGUUUCAAGCAGAUAGUGUCUCAGCAUAUCAGAGACUGCCUACUUCUCUGGACCCCUACCACUUUGCUUACAGAGCAAAUCGGUCCACAGAGGAUACCACCUGAUCCUGAAUCAUCACCACCAACCAGCCCAAAUCAGUCAGACUCAGCCCCAGCCUCUUCCCCCCACUGUCACUUUCUUACUCCUGACUUCUUCGUGUAGUACCACAGUUUCUAGCACCCUAUCAUAUGCUUUCUUUGGAGCUUCCUUCUGACCUUCUUAAUUAACAAUCCCAAAACAAACAUUGCAUCUUUAUUGCUCUUUCUUGGCCUGAAGUCAUACUGCUGCUUGCUAAAUGUUACCUCUCUUCUUAAGCUAGCUUCAAUACUCUCUCCCACAUCGUCAUCCUAUGGCUCAUCAGCUUUGUCCUUCUGUAGUGAUGUCCUUUGGCUCUGCACAUCACUCUUGUUCUUGAAAUCACUACCAGUGCGCUUGUUCUCCAUUCCUCAGACAUCCUCUCACCCUCCAAGACUGUGUUAAACUACCUGGUUGGACAGUCCACCACACUCUCUCCUAUCUACACAACUCCACAGGUAUGUCAUGUGGACCAACUGCUUUCCAUUCUUCAUCCUCUUCAUAGCUGCCCCCGCUUUCUCUUUAUUAAUUCAAUUUCAAUUCAAUUCAAUUCAAUUUUAUUUAUAUAGCGCCAAAUCACAACAAAAGUUGCCUCAAGGCGCUUUAUAUUGUACAGUAGAUCGCACAAUAAUGCUAAUUACUGCACUUCACUGAUUCACUGACUUUCCUGUAUCCCUUCUCCUCCCUCUCUCAUUUUCUGCAUUCAUCAGCUCCUCAAAACACUCCUUUAUCUUCUCAAUGGCCUGUUGUCAUGUAGCAGUGAAGGCUUGAUAUAGGACCCAAAAUGCAGACUAAUUGGGAAAAUUAAACUUAAACACAGCUUUAUUGCUAAAUGACUGAGUACUGCCAAGACUCAAGAAACCUAAACUGAGAUACCAGCCGGAACACACAGCCAGAGGAUGAGGGAGAUCGCCACACUGGACAGAGGGAGACACAGACAGUAAAUACAUCAGAGGGGGUCAGAGGAGAGAUGAAACACCUGGGGAACACGGGUGAAGAAAAUCAAUUAACAAGACAGGGGAAGAACAACCAAGUAUAGAACACACAGGACUCUUCUGUAACCCUGGAGAGUUACUAAGGGUUUUAGUGUGUUAUGAAUGAUGUUAGUAUUUGGAGUUCACUGUUAAGUUUUAUUAAGUUAAAUUAUUUUGUUGAGAAUUAAUAAAAUAUAAGAUGUCUAUAAUGCCGUGAUGGUCCUUGAAGUAUACAGGGGGAAGUACCGCCUCCUGCCGUUCACUGCGUAGCAGCUACGAAUAUCAGGAAAAAGGGAGAGGAAGAAAAAAAGUCCGUCUUUUCCAAGUGGAAAGCGUGGUUGCUUUUAUUCAGUCGGAUUGUACGGUGGAAAUAAACUAUCUGGAAAGUGUUGUUAACCAGAAAGGAAUUUUGUUACUGCUCGGAUUCUUCUGGUUGUGCUGCAACGCUGCACCAUCGCCAUUUUGAAGCUCCAGGAGAGCCCAUUUUGUUGGUUACUUUGGUAAGAAGUUAUCAUUGUCCAUGUUUUGGAAUAUUCUCUCAUUCUUUCUGUAUACUGGAAAGGUAAAAUGCAAAUUUCUUAGUAUGUAUGAACGAAACAUAAGAAAGGAUAUAUGUAUAAAUGACUAAAUAUAGAAUUUUGAAUGUUAUUCUGACUGUGUUAUACAGGUCAGGUUUUUUUGGGGGGGGGGAGUACAGUUCGGUGAUGAUCCAGUCCAAAGAUGGCGAGCCACCCCUCCAGGAUCCUUGAGAUGAUUGUUUUAAGAAGAGAACUAAAUUCUUUGGACGAGCCGUGAACUGUACAACUUCUACUUAAGUGGUAGGACAGAUUUGCACCUCAUUCCUCCUUUGCACAUCCUGCAAGGAGAAUCUUCAUUGCUGGACUCACACUUAAGGGUGUUGGCUGACACGAGAGAGAGACUGAGUCAAAUCCCCUGGGGGUGUGUGUGUUAUAUUUAUUAUUUUCCAUGACUUGGGCCCAAUUUUUCCUUUCAUGUACUGUUAUUGUUUUCAUUGUAUGUAUGUGAGAUUCUUUAAUUGUGAAUACAAAUCGAUCAAACCAAGUUCUCUGAGCGUUUCAUUAGUCAUCCACUUUGCUCCAGUAGUCGAACCUCAGCUAUUGGCCCAACACACAGGCAACCAUUUAAAUCUGUAUCCCAAGUGUUGAAAGGGGUGUUACA
Long non-coding RNA from Oreochromis niloticus (Nile tilapia), 3363 nucleotides. RefSeq lists it as uncharacterized. The transcript has 2 exons. The record is from RefSeq and is a predicted model, not a curated record. NCBI's taxonomy places the organism in Eukaryota, Metazoa, Chordata, Actinopteri, Cichliformes, Cichlidae.